Molecule: long non-coding RNA, 1086 nt
Filed under: Brassica napus (rape)
Lineage: Eukaryota; Viridiplantae; Streptophyta; Magnoliopsida; Brassicales; Brassicaceae
Description: long non-coding RNA (BNAP_LNC016258)
Source: RNAcentral
UAUAUGAUUUUGAAUUUAAUAAAUGAUUUCUAUUUUUUUUCUAACUGAUUUUGUUAUAGAUAAAAUAGAUCCACACAAGACCAACGGACGAAGAUAUGUCUGUGGUUAACUAUGCCGGCAAACAACAUGAUGUCUCCGGAACCUUAAACCCACACAGGGGCAGCAGAAUCCCAAACACGAUACAUGAUACAGGGCACAACGAUUACAACCAGACUUUAGACUAAGCAACUAGAUUCCAAACUACUACUAUCCAUCUCAAGAGUACAGAGAAACCUAAAGAGAAGAGAACCUAUGAAAGUUGCUUGAUGUGAAUGUCCUCGGCCAAACCACCGACAAACCACUUCCUCCUAGAACAACGAGGCUCCACCUCAGAAACCAGUAACACGAGCUUCACAAACCGGCCAGUAAGAAUCACUCAUAGAUUCUGUCACACUCCCGGAUACGACUGAGUCGAAGACGACUAAAGUACGCCUUUUUGUUUUGACUAUUGAACGCCAAUAUAUGAAACCACCACGGACACAGAUCUCCACGAAAUCUGCUCAAACAACUAGGAGCGAAGCCCACCCAAUCCGGAGAACAUCGAACACAGGCCACGAACAGCAGAGAAACGGCUUAGACGGAACCCACAGCGAACUCAUCGAAAUAGACACACUCUGAAACAAAGAGUACCCCACCAGUAGCCUAGGAGAUAUGAACAAUCAAUAAAACUAACCAGAUCUAACAAGAAAUUCGAAGACAAAAGCUUUGGAAACUAAACCACUCUGUAAAUCAACAGAUCCGGAACUUCUAUCAUAAGAAUCCACAACAGAUCUGGAAGUUUCAAUCGAUCUGGGUAAGCCACAUCUCCUUACAAAAUGGAACCACAGUCACAAACCGAGUUACAAUUAAGCAAACAAGAAAGAACAAGAGAGACUUGGACCGGCCCAGGCGCUGAAUGAGCCGCCUCGCCGGUCGACGGAGCUCAGGCACAUAUGAGAAAGCAAUAAGACGCAGACGAUAAGAGCUCAGGCACCGCCUAUUGCGUUGAUAGAUGAUUUCUAUAAUUUCACUUUUCGGGCUCCCAAAAUAAUAAUAAAUUUGGCCGUC